CCCGCCUUAAAAGGGGAACCGCCCCCAUUGGAAUUAAGAUAGGGCCCAGACUCCUAGGGCAGGCGCCAGUGGGGAAUUUUGCACAAUGGGCGCAAGCCUGAUGCAGCGACGCCGCGUGAGGGAUGGAGGCCUUCGGGUGGUAAACCUCUUUUAUCGGGGAGCAAGCGAGAGUGAGUUUACCCGUUGAAUAAGCACCGGCUAACUACGUGCCAGCAGCCGCGGUAAUACGUAGGGUGCAAGCGUUAUCCGGAAUUAUUGGGCGUAAAGGGCUCGUAGGCGGUUCGUCGCGUCCGGUGUGAAAGUCCAUCGCUUAACGGUGGAUCCGCGCCGGGUACGGGCGGGCUUGAGUGCGGUAGGGGAGACUGGAAUUCCCGGUGUAACGGUGGAAUGUGUAGAUAUCGGGAAGAACACCAAUGGCGAAGGCAGGUCUCUGGGCCGUUACUGACNNGAGGAGC
This 455-nucleotide ribosomal RNA is filed under the name Bifidobacterium longum subsp. infantis. RNAcentral describes it as "bacterial SSU rRNA". It matches the Rfam family "Bacterial small subunit ribosomal RNA", at positions 286 to 754 of the family's 1533-position model. Lineage: Bacteria; Bacillati; Actinomycetota; Actinomycetes; Bifidobacteriales; Bifidobacteriaceae. The record is from RNAcentral.